This 470-nucleotide long non-coding RNA is filed under the name Coffea arabica (coffee). RNAcentral describes it as "long non-coding RNA (CARA_LNC004185)". Lineage: Eukaryota; Viridiplantae; Streptophyta; Magnoliopsida; Gentianales; Rubiaceae. The record is from RNAcentral.
CUUCAUUCCUAAGCCACCAGUUGUGCUGCCACCUUAUGUACCAAAGCCACCUAUUGUUAAACCACCGCCCUAUGUGCCAAAGCCACCUGUGGUGUUGCCACCUUAUAUACCAAAGCCACCUAUUGUUAAACCACCACCCUAUGUGCCCAAGCCGCCUAUUGUUAAACCACCACCUUACGUGCCAAAGCCACCUGUGGUGUUGCCACCCUAUGUGCCAAAGCCACCUAUUGUUGAACCACCACCCUAUGUGCCAAAGCCACCCGUCAUUUCCCCACCAUUUGUGCCAAAGCCACCUGUGGUGUCGCCACCUUAUGUACCAAAGCCGCCAGUUGUUGUAACUCCACCACCAUAUGUGCCAAAGCCACCUGUGGUUUCACCACCAUUUGUGCCAAAGCCACCUGUGGUGUCGCCACCAUAUGUACCAAAGCCACCUGUUGUUGUUACUCCACCACCAUAUGUGCCAAAGCCAC